GGGUAGUAGAACAAUGGGAUUAUGCUGUCACAAAAAACAAAGAAAAAACAUAAUUUCUUAAAUCAUGGUCUGUCACUGAAUCUGGUUAUAAAACCUUAUCUUGCACUAGAAGGAUCUGUAGCUUUUCCAGCUGAGAAUGGGGUUCAGGAUACCGAAUCAACACUAGAAAAGAGAGAAACUGGGGAUGAAGAAAACUCAGCUAAAUUUCCUAUAGGAAGGAGAGAUUUUGACAUAUUCUCAGACCACUUCUACCAAAACAUAAAUCUGUGAUUGUGAUCUCUGAAAGUCAGUCCUUUUAUCUACUCAAAAGAAGACACUAAGGUUUUCAGAAAUUAAAUUGCUUUUUGGAAAAGGUGGGAGAUUCUGGGAACAUAGAAACUUGAAUCCAGUUUUCUUCAACUCCACGUCAAGACAGUUGCAUUGUGUGAGAAAAUAGCUACGGCCAUUUGUGAUAGUUAUGACUCAAGGCUUUGAGAAUGUAAAGAGACGCCCUUCACAUGUUGAGAAAUGGCACGAUUUCACGUUAUCAGUGCAGUUCGGUUCUCAGGGGGAAAGAAGUGUGAAACUGUCAGGAAGACAGAUGAAAUGAUUUGCCUGAGGCCGUAUCAUCAAACAAGAAAUUCAUAUUCACCUUUCUGGAAUUCUUAGGAUAAUGAUUACAUGUGUUCAAUUGUUAAAAAUUGGCAGAUAAAAUUUUAUGUAUUUACCACGUACAACAUGAAAUUUUGAAAC
Molecule: long non-coding RNA, 732 nt
Filed under: Homo sapiens (human)
Lineage: Eukaryota; Metazoa; Chordata; Mammalia; Primates; Hominidae
Description: non-protein coding lnc-BDP1-4:1
Source: RNAcentral